This 97-nucleotide non-coding RNA is filed under the name unclassified sequences. Its description in RNAcentral is "pemK RNA". It matches the Rfam family "pemK RNA". The record is from RNAcentral.
ACAAUGGUACUCCUGCCCAGCCACAGCCCUGCUUGACCGCAGGAUCAUGCAAUGGGGGCAGCUCGGAGAGAUCCUCGGAGGGGUGAGAUUCCCGUGG